This 310-nucleotide long non-coding RNA is filed under the name Rattus norvegicus (Norway rat). Its description in RNAcentral is "long non-coding RNA NONRATT029612". The record is from RNAcentral. Lineage: Eukaryota; Metazoa; Chordata; Mammalia; Rodentia; Muridae.
AGAAAUGGUUGCCCGAGGCCCAUACCAGUCGCUCAGCCAGAUGACUACAAAGAGGGCAAACGAGGUGUUGCUGGGCGUGCCACGCCCUCGUCAUCAGUUAUGGACCACAAGCCAAGAGAGUGGCUACCAGCUGGACACCAGGAGUCUCGCUUGAUCCCCACAGCAGCCCUCAGUUGGCCAAGAGAGGUGAUCCAGGACCCAAGCAGUGGACACACCACCAGGCCUCCUGAGGACACAUACCCUGAAGACAGAGCAACCUGAAGAGGGAACACUCAGUCUCUAGCACUGAAAUAAAGCUAGAGUGUGUUGA